AAGUAUUAAAGCUCAGUUAUAUGAUUUGUAGAGCAUUGCUAAAUAAAUUACAUUUAAAGUUAACUAAUAAAAAUUAAAAUUGCACAGAAUCUUUACAAAAAAUGUGAAAUGAAAUGUGAAUUCAAGUUCGUAUUUUUGUAUUUUUUUUGUUUUUGAUGUUUUCACUGAAAUAAGUUAUUAUACAUCAUAUACAGUAAGUAUGUAUAUAUGCAUACGUAAUAUAUUUUUAUUAUAUUUAUUAAUAUUGUUGUUGUUGCUUUUUUUUCUUUUAUUAUAUUAUUUGCUCAGACUACUAUAGACUAUGAAUUUAUAUGUAUGCAUGUAUGUAUAGAUCUUCCAAUUUUUUAUUAAUGCGCCUAUUUGUUUUGUCGUUGGUGUAUGCCUGUUCUGUGUGUGUGUGUGUGUCUGUGUGUAGAAAAUAAUGAAAAUGUCCUUCAAACAAUGUGAUGUGUGCUUUCUUUUCAAAACUUGUUUUUAUUAAUUUGUUAAUUAUUUUUUAAUAUUUAUGACUUUUUGACGCAACAACUGAGUAAAGUUAAUUUAUUACAAAACAUACAUUGUAUAUUUUUGAUAAAAAUAAAUGUAUUUCUUUUUUUAACAACAGAAUUUGAAAGGCUUGGCGUCUAAAAAUAAAUUAACAAAGAGUACAGAAAUUAAAAUAAUAAUUUAAAUGAUUGUUUUUCGUUAAGCCUAUUAUUUAACAGAAGGCUUCGCUGCUCCACAUAGUAAACCCUUAAGAUCUUUUAAACUUUUAGAGAAAUUUGUUUGUUAACGAAAUGAUAAACAAUAAAUAUAUAUAAAUUGAUCUUUACUCAAAUAUAUAUGUAUAUAACGUUUUUGUUUUUUGAUUUUUUUUUUGCUUUGUUUUUUUUCUUUUAAAUUAUUAAACUUAAUUGGCGCUUAUUUUUCCGUUCUCUCUUUUUCUUUCUCCUUUUUGCACAUUUUCUUGGUAUCUUUUUGUUUGUGUUUUAUAUAAGUGUAUAAUAUUAAAUAUUUUUUGUUGUUCAAUUAAUGCUACGAUUUUACGCUUUUUUACACACAAAUUUCAUUUUGUUUUUGUUUUUGUUUUUACUUGCGACUUAAAUGUAAACAUUUAGAUUUUUUUGUUGCUGCAUUUUUGCUGUUGUUUUUUUUUUAUAAUAUAUAUUUAUACCAUAUAUUAUGUUUUAUAUGUUUUGUAUGCUUUGUAUGUUCUCCAUGUUAAUAUUUAUUAUUUAUUUUAGAAUUUGAGUAGUUCAUGUGGUUCUUUCUGGCGCAUUUUUGCCCUAGAUCCUGCGAGCGAUACGUGGAUUUGCCACGUAUAACUUUCUAAUAUGUAUGUUGUAAAUAUGUGUGUUUGUAUGUAUGUAUAUGUAUGUUCGGUGAGUGCGCUUACUUUUAGGUGCCACUGUUGAUGAGCAUGUAUGUGUGUGUGUCUAUUGGAUGUUGAUUAAAUUUCGGCUGUUUUCUCUUUAUCUUUAUCUUUACCUUUCAUUCUUUUUGUGUGUGUUGUUCUUUUGUAUUGUAGAUGUUAUUUGUGUUUUUGUUUUUGGUUUUAUUGUUGCACGUCGUCGCUGAUUGUACAACAUUUAUAGUACAUAUGUAUCCGUAUGUCUAGAACGCCUACAACAUCGAGAGCUAAAUGUAAGCUCAGUAAGUAGCAGAGGGGCGGGAGGGGCAGGAGGCAUCGGCCAGAGGGCACAUAAGAAUUUCAGCGUUUGUUUUUUUUUUCGUAUUUCUUUUGUUUUGUAUACUUUGGAGCGCCUUAUGCAACACUAA
Molecule: long non-coding RNA, 1758 nt
Organism: Drosophila sulfurigaster albostrigata
Lineage: Eukaryota; Metazoa; Arthropoda; Insecta; Diptera; Drosophilidae
Exons: 2
Source: RefSeq, a predicted model, not a curated record